GAGUUUGAUCUUGGCUCAGAUUGAACGCUGGCGGCAGGCCUAACACAUGCAAGUCGAGCGGUAGAGAGAAGCUUGCUUCUCUUGAGAGCGGCGGACGGGUGAGUAAUGCCUAGGAAUCUGCCUGGUAGUGGGGGAUAACGCUCGGAAACGGACGCUAAUACCGCAUACGUCCUACGGGAGAAAGCAGGGGACCUUCGGGCCUUGCGCUAUCAGAUGAGCCUAGGUCGGAUUAGCUAGUUGGUGAGGUAAUGGCUCACCAAGGCGACGAUCCGUAACUGGUCUGAGAGGAUGAUCAGUCACACUGGAACUGAGACACGGUCCAGACUCCUACGGGAGGCAGCAGUGGGGAAUAUUGGACAAUGGGCGAAAGCCUGAUCCAGCCAUGCCGCGUGUGUGAAGAAGG
This 403-nucleotide ribosomal RNA is filed under the name uncultured bacterium. RNAcentral describes it as "bacterial SSU rRNA". It matches the Rfam family "Bacterial small subunit ribosomal RNA", at positions 9 to 414 of the family's 1533-position model. The record is from RNAcentral.